RNAcentral lists this ribosomal RNA (458 nucleotides) under uncultured bacterium. RNAcentral's name for it is "SSU rRNA". It matches the Rfam family "Bacterial small subunit ribosomal RNA", at positions 26 to 518 of the family's 1533-position model. The record is from RNAcentral.
AGAAUCAACGCUGGCGGCGUGCCUAACACAUGCAAGUCGAACGAGAAAGUGGAGCAAUCCAUGAGUAAAGUGGCGCACGGGUGAGUAACACGUGACUAACCUACCUUUUAGUGGGGGAUAACCUAGGGAAACCUGGGCUAAUACCGCAUAAUACCUACGGGUCAAAGCAGCAAUGCGCUGAAAGAGGGGGUCGCGGCCGAUUAGCUAGUUGGCGGGGUAAUGGCCCACCAAGGCAGUGAUCGGUAUCCGGCCUGAGAGGGCGCACGGACACACUGGAACUGAAACACGGUCCAGACUCCUACGGGAGGCAGCAGUGGGGAAUUUUGCGCAAUGGGGGAAACCCUGACGCAGCAACGCCGCGUGGAGGAUGAAGUCCCUUGGGACGUAAACUCCUUUCGAUCGGGACGAUAAUGACGGUACCGGAAGAAGAGCCCGGCUAACUUCGUGCCAGCAGCCGC